Molecule: long non-coding RNA, 568 nt
Organism: Balaenoptera ricei (Rice's whale)
Lineage: Eukaryota; Metazoa; Chordata; Mammalia; Artiodactyla; Balaenopteridae
Exons: 3
Source: RefSeq, a predicted model, not a curated record
AGGACCAUCAACGCAGGCCUGCGGGAUCUUUCAUCAUUCUUGCCUUUCCUGUCAGUUGUGAAGACUCAUCCCUCAGAUUGGAAGCCAGAAGGACCCCAGCUGAGAAUUUUGAAGGGUAGAAGGAAAAUAAUUCUUUUUCCGCCCCUACUCUAUCAUCUAUCUGUCUCUCUCUCCAUCCAUCCAUCCAUCCAUCCAUCCAUCCAUCCUAUUGGUUCUGGUACUCUGGAGAACCCUGACUGAUCCUGGUGACCUCCAUCACUCACUGCAGGAGUGGGGCGAAGGCAAGGCACGCUGCCUCCCACCAGCUGGCCAGAGAGUGCCAUGUACCAGGAGCCCUCAUGGUGACAGGCAGCAGCCUUGAUGCAUGAAACCUACCUGGUGCUUCACAGGGACAAAAGUGGGUCCAUAGAGCAGUCACAGGACACCUCACGGGGGCACAGUGCUGUUGCCCGAAUAAGCUGAAGGCCCAAAUGUGUCGAAAAGGAAGCAAACUAGAGCUGCUUCCCUCACAGGAACCUGCCUGCUCUGGAAGAUGGUGCUCAAGCUCUGGAAAGGCGGCAGCUAAGGG